Long non-coding RNA from Maniola jurtina (meadow brown), 260 nucleotides. RefSeq lists it as uncharacterized. The transcript is spliced from 3 exons. The record is from RefSeq and is a predicted model, not a curated record. NCBI's taxonomy places the organism in Eukaryota, Metazoa, Arthropoda, Insecta, Lepidoptera, Nymphalidae.
UGAUAUUACAAGCCAUCGUGUUUUUAAGUUGCGUAUUACUACCAAGAAUCCUUACGUCUCCCUCAAUCGCUAUAGGAAUAGACAAGGAUGCAAGACACCUUAGGAUUCAAUACAGUUUGACACCUCGUCUCAAUUUUUUACAAGAUUUUCUGCUAAGAAACAGAUUUGAGCAUGGUGGAGGUGCGAGUAUAUGGACGGAAGAAAGAUGUAACGACCAUAACUAUAUUACUAUUGUAGAUACAAUCAUUUAAAUAAAUAAA